This 297-nucleotide signal recognition particle RNA is filed under the name Bos taurus (domestic cattle). RNAcentral's name for it is "long non-coding RNA NONBTAT007060". It matches the Rfam family "Metazoan signal recognition particle RNA". From Rfam's summary of the family: The signal recognition particle (SRP) is a universally conserved ribonucleoprotein. It is involved in the co-translational targeting of proteins to membranes. Lineage: Eukaryota; Metazoa; Chordata; Mammalia; Artiodactyla; Bovidae. The record is from RNAcentral.
GCCGGGCGCGGUGGCGGGCGCCUGUAGUCCCAGCUACUCGGGAGGCUGAGGCUGGAGGAUCGCUUGAGCUCAGGAGUUCUGGGCUGCAGUGCGCUAUGCCGAUCGGGUGUCCGCACUAAGUUCGGCAUCAAUAUGGUGACCUCCCGGGAGCGGGGGACCACCAGGUUGCCUAAGGAGGGGUGAACCGGCCCAGGUCGGAAACGCAGCAGGUCAAAACUCCCGUGCUGAUCAGUAGUGGGAUCGCGCCUGUGAAUAGCCACUGUACUCCAGCCUGGGCAACAUAGCGAGACCCCGUCU